UGAGGAAUAUUGCACAAUGGGCGAAAGCCUGAUGCAGCGACGCCGCGUGAAGGAUGAAGGUCUUCGGAUUGUAAACUUCUGUUAAGUGGGAAAAAAGAAUUGCUUUUAAUAGAAGCAGUGGAUGAUGGUACCACUAGAGAAAGCACCGGCUAACUUCGUGCCAGCAGCCGCGGUAAUACGAGGGGUGCAAACGUUAUUCGGAAUCAUUGGGCGUAAAGGGUGCGUAGGCGGCAAAAUAAGUCAGUUAUUAAAUUCCCCAGCUUAACUGGGGGUCUGUAAUUGAAACUGUUUUGCUUGAGGAUGGAAGAGAGAAGUGGAAUUCUCGGAGUAGCGGUAAAAUGCGUAGAUCUCGAGAGGAACACCGAUGGCGAAGGCAGCUUCUUGGUCCAUAUCUGACGCU
RNAcentral lists this ribosomal RNA (400 nucleotides) under uncultured bacterium. RNAcentral describes it as "bacterial SSU rRNA". It matches the Rfam family "Bacterial small subunit ribosomal RNA", at positions 355 to 747 of the family's 1533-position model. The record is from RNAcentral.